AACGAACGCUGGCGGCAUGCCUAACACAUGCAAGUCGAACGAGACCUUCGGGUCUAGUGGCGCACGGGUGCGUAACGCGUGGGAACCUGCCCUUAGGUUCGGAAUAACUCCCCGAAAGGGGUGCUAAUACCGGAUAGUGUCUUCGGACCAAAGAUUUAUCGCCUUUGGAUGGGCCCGCGUUGGAUUAGCUAGUUGGUAGGGUAAAAGCCUACCAAGGCGACGAUCCAUAGCUGGUCUGAGAGGAUGAUCAGCCACACUGGCACUGAGACACGGCCCAGACUCCUACGGGAGGCAGCAGUGGGGAAUAUUGGACAAUGGGCGAAAGCCUGAUCCAGCAAUGCCGCGUGAGUGAUGAAGGCCUUAGGGUUGUAAAGCUCUUUUACCCGGGAUGAUAAUGACAGUACCGGGAGAAUAAGCUCCGGCUAACUCCGUG
This 433-nucleotide ribosomal RNA is filed under the name uncultured bacterium. RNAcentral's name for it is "partial 16S ribosomal RNA". It matches the Rfam family "Bacterial small subunit ribosomal RNA", at positions 29 to 507 of the family's 1533-position model. The record is from RNAcentral.